GACGAACGCUGGCGGCGUGCCUAAUACAUGCAAGUAGAACGCUGAAGGAGGAGCGUGCUUCUCUGGAUGAGUUGCGAACGGGUGAGUAACGCGUAGGUAACCUGCCUGGGAGCGGGGGAUAACUAUUGGAAACGAUAGCUAAUACCGCAUAAUAGUAGAUGUUGCAUGACAUUUGCUUAAAAGGUGCAAUUGCAUCACUACCAGAUGGACCUGCGUUGUAUUAGCUAGUUGGUGAGGUAACGGCUCACCAAGGCGACGAUACAUAGCCGACCUGAGAGGGGGGUCGGCCACACUGGGACUGAGACACGGCCCAGGCUCCUACGGGAGGCAGCAGUAGGGAAUCCUCGGCAAUGGGCGGAAGUCUGACCGAGCAACGCCGCGUGAGUGAAGGAGGUUUUCGGAUCGUAAGGCUCUGUUGUAAGAGAAGAACGAGUGUGAGAGUGGAAAGUUCACACUGUGACGGUAUCUUACCAGAAAGGGACGGCUAACUACGUG
This 495-nucleotide ribosomal RNA is filed under the name uncultured bacterium. Its description in RNAcentral is "partial 16S ribosomal RNA". It matches the Rfam family "Bacterial small subunit ribosomal RNA", at positions 28 to 507 of the family's 1533-position model. The record is from RNAcentral.